Molecule: long non-coding RNA, 270 nt
Filed under: Panax ginseng (ginseng)
Lineage: Eukaryota; Viridiplantae; Streptophyta; Magnoliopsida; Apiales; Araliaceae
Description: long non-coding RNA (PGIN_LNC011204)
Source: RNAcentral
UGAGACUGUUGAGUCACCGCUGAUCAAUAGCCAGAAUAAUGUGCAACAGGAAGGUGAUAAUCCUCCUGUAAACAACAACACUGAUCAAAUGACGAAUGACGGUACAUUUAGGACCUUUUUAGAAUUCAUGCAACACCAAACGAGAGAGACUCCUGUUCUUAAUGUAGGUGGAAACAAUGGCAACCCACGGUUGGUCACCGCUAAGCAGUUCAAGGAGUUGGGACCACCAAAGUUUUUGGGAAAGCCAGAACCACUUAAGGCAGAGACGUG